GCCUGCGGAAGGAUCAUUACCGAGUGCGGGUCCUUUGGGCCCAACCUCCCAUCCGUGUCUAUUGUACCCUGUUGCUUCGGCGGGCCCGCCGCUUGUCGGCCGCCGGGGGGGCGCCUCUGCCCCCCGGGCCCGUGCCCGCCGGAGACCCCAACACGAACACUGUCUGAAAGCGUGCAGUCUGAGUUGAUUGAAUGCAAUCAGUUAAAACUUUCAACAAUGGAUCUCUUGGUUCCGGCAUCGAUGAAGAACGCAGCGAAAUGCGAUAACUAAUGUGAAUUGCAGAAUUCAGUGAAUCAUCGAGUCUUUGAACGCACAUUGCGCCCCCUGGUAUUCCGGGGGGCAUGCCUGUCCGAGCGUCAUUGCUGCCCUCAAGCCCGGCUUGUGUGUUGGGUCGCCGUCCCCCUCUCCGGGGGGACGGGCCCGAAAGGCAGCGGCGGCACCGCGUCCGAUCCUCGAGCGUAUGGGGCUUUGUCACAUGCUCUGUAGGAUUGGCCGGCGCCUGCCGACGUUUUCCAACCAUUCUUUCCAGGUUGACCUCGGAUCAGGUAGGGAUACCCGCUGAACUUAAGCAUAUCAAA
RNAcentral lists this ribosomal RNA (578 nucleotides) under Aspergillus sp. S1 XS-2015. Its description in RNAcentral is "eukaryotic LSU rRNA". The stretch from base 206 to 359 matches the Rfam family "5.8S ribosomal RNA". Lineage: Eukaryota; Fungi; Ascomycota; Eurotiomycetes; Eurotiales; Aspergillaceae. The record is from RNAcentral.